Non-coding RNA from Vigna angularis (adzuki bean), 272 nucleotides. NCBI's taxonomy places the organism in Eukaryota, Viridiplantae, Streptophyta, Magnoliopsida, Fabales, Fabaceae. The record is from Rfam.
GUUUCUCUGCAAGGUUUGUCUACGGAGAGUGAGUCAAGGCCUAAGAUCAGGCCAAAAGGCGUAGUUGACGGACAACAGGUGAAUAUUCAUGUACUACUCUUUGUUGGUAUUGAGGUAUAGAGGAGGCUAGGUUAACCGAAAGAUGGUUAUCGGUUUAAAGAUGCAUGAUGCCCCUACUUUUUCAGGAUAAUAAGGAGUAGAGAAAAUGUCUCAUUUUUAAAUUCGUUAUUAUAUCUUUUUAAAAGUAUAAUUAAUAUUAAAAAUAAAUUGUA